Molecule: ribosomal RNA, 497 nt
Filed under: uncultured bacterium
Lineage: Bacteria
Description: partial 16S ribosomal RNA
Rfam family: Bacterial small subunit ribosomal RNA
Source: RNAcentral
GACGAACGCUGGCGGCGUGCCUAAUACAUGCAAGUUGAGCGCUGAAGGUUGGUACUUGUACCAACUGGAUGAGCAGCGAACGGGUGAGUAACGCGUGGGGAAUCUGCCUUUGAGCGGGGGACAACAUUUGGAAACGAAUGCUAAUACCGCAUAAAAACUUUAAACACAAGUUUUAAGUUUGAAAGAUGCAAUUGCAUCACUCAAAGAUGAUCCCGCGUUGUAUUAGCUAGUUGGUGAGGUAAGGGCUCACCAAGGCGAUGAUACAUAGCCGACCUGAGAGGGUGAUCGGCCAAAUUGGGACUGAGACACGGCCCAAAAUCCUACGGGAGGCAGCAGUAGGGAAUCUUCGGCAAGGGACGAAAGUCUGAACGAGCAACGCCGCGUGAGUGAAGAAGGUUUUCGGAUCGUAAAACUCUGUUGGUAGAGAAGAACGUUGGUGAGAGUGGAAAGCUCAUCAAGUGACGGUAACUACACAGAAAGGGACGGCUAACUACGUG